ACUCAUAUCAGAUUAGCUAAAUAUGAUUUCCCAAUAUUGGGGGACGUCCGAUACACUAAGGACCAGACUAUUCUCCUAUACAAAUUUUGGACCGUUGGAUUUUAUAAGCCCAAUCCGACUAUCCAAAAUUUUGGCCCAAAUUUGCCUCAUUCAAUCGAUCGCUUUCUUCUUCUAAUCACAAUUUGCUAUUCUCUCUCUUAUCUUCAUGCAGGGUCAGAGGAAAAAUAUUCAAUUCAAUGGUUUGUUUUAUUUCUCAGGCAUCACUUCCCAAUCCAAAGAGAUUUAUCUCGACCACAAGUAGGCAGUAGCAAGCAAAUAUCAGAGGCAUUUCAAGAGACAUUUUUAACUUCAUUUUCAUGUCCUUGUACAUCAUAUUCUUACUUCAUUUUUAUCUUCUCGCGUCUGUUGAUUUUGGGAUCUGAUCUUGGGAACAUGAGAAGCCAUGAUUUUAGUUCAUGUAUUUCAUCUCUUUCCCCUAGAUGCAUUUAUUUUCGAAUGCUACACAAAACCUACAUUUCUUCAUGCUUCUCUUUUUCCUCUCAUUAAUCUCUCUUGCGGUGACGAUCAGAUCUCCCAUUAUCUACGUAUUUGCACGAAAUCGACUGUCUGAAGAGCGAUGUCUGCUUGCUUUCUCUAUUCUCUUCAACUACUAUUUGAGUUAAGAGAUUACCCAUCCAUUUGAGAGUGUGUAUAUCUGAUAGCGAGCUCCUUCACAUCGUCCGCGAGUUCUGGUGGUGGCGGCCCUGUGAUCGAGAUGGGAAGCAAGUCGGCUGCUGCCUAGAUUUGGCGACCUAUUUCAGCCUUGGGAAUUUUAAGGUGUCGGAGCUUUCAAGAGAUAGUAUCAAUGGACCAGAGAGAUAUUCGCUCUGAAGUUUAUCGGAGAGCCCAAAAGAUUUGCGACCUAGAGAACGGUGUUGACAUCUUGGUUGCUGCCCCUGCCCCUCGGAGCCUAAUGGAUAUGGUUGAGAGAGGAAAAGUUUCUCUUAAAAUGGGCAAAUGCCUGGCUUUCUUCUUUUUUAUAGAUACACGAGGAGGAAUUUGCUUAUGAAACUAGGAUUAAGAUUAGUGUUGUUUAUGGAGGAGCAACCAUCGUGCAGCAGGUACUAUGACGCUUUCCUCUCUUUGAUGAAGUGUGAAGUUCUUUUUCCACCUGGAAAGAAAGAGAUUAUUGACGGUUUUGUAUCAUUUUUUACUUGAAUGUUCACAAUUGGUUAUAUGCUCUGGUGUAUUUACCAUAAUUGAGAUUAUCGAUUUGGGUUCAUUGUUCUGUUCUCUGUGUGUGACUAAUUUGAAAAGAACUUUCACAUGAUAGA
This is a long non-coding RNA of Tripterygium wilfordii, 1313 nucleotides long. RefSeq lists it as uncharacterized. The transcript has 3 exons. The record is from RefSeq and is a predicted model, not a curated record. NCBI's taxonomy places the organism in Eukaryota, Viridiplantae, Streptophyta, Magnoliopsida, Celastrales, Celastraceae.